This is a small nuclear RNA of Ochotona princeps (American pika), 107 nucleotides long. The record is from Ensembl. Lineage: Eukaryota; Metazoa; Chordata; Mammalia; Lagomorpha; Ochotonidae.
GUGCUUGCUUUGGCAGCACAUAAACUAAAAUAGGAACAAUACAGAGAAGAUUAGCAUGGCCCCUGCACCAGGAUGACAUGAAAACCAUGGCCUAAUAUAAGUGUCAU